Molecule: non-coding RNA, 1531 nt
Organism: Caretta caretta (loggerhead turtle)
Lineage: Eukaryota; Metazoa; Chordata; Testudines; Cheloniidae
Source: RefSeq, a predicted model, not a curated record
UACACCAUUCCUAGUGUUUAUACUGUAUGAGCAAAAUCCGAAUAACCACUGUAUGAUAACAUUCAAACAUUCAAACUCAAUAGAAUAUAGAGAGAGGCAUGUAACUCUGGACUCUGCCAUCUUACUUCCACUUAGUAUAACCCAAGAAGAGCUGUGAAUGGACAAAAGGGUGCAUGAGAUAUUCAAAAAGCCCCUUGAAGGAGGAGACUGAAGCAAGGGCUGCUUGCAGGGUUACCCAGAGGCCACAAGGGUGUGCCCUGGAGGAGGUCACCCUAUGACAGUAGCUUGAAUGCUGACUUCUGAAUACUAAGCUGAAAUUUUAACAUCUCUUGAAUGGCUCAUCUUGACCAUUAGUUCUCACGUGCAACUGUAAUAGGCUGAGUCUGACUCGACUGGAGGGCCCACCACAAACAGGUAGAGAGAACGUGCAGGCACACACACUUGGCCAGGGGGCACUUGCGAGAGAGAUGAAAAGAGGUGGGCAAAAUUCUGUCCUCAGAAGCACACCCUCAGCUCCUGCUGCUUUCUGCAUGCAGAAUUGGUCCUCGUGUGUAUGUGUGAACAACUAAACAAAUAGAGAGAACGAGUCCCAGAUAUCAUGACUUUGGAAAGGGUGUUGCAUCUGAGAGGUAUCUACAACCGAAUUCCACCUUCAAUACUAUAGAAUAUGUGUAGGACUGUCUGUUCAAAAUGUGUAUACUCUAAUUGAAAGGAAUCGGGAAGUGAAAAAUGAAAUUUGGCCGUUCUAUUCUACGCCACCAUUUGAUGCUUGUUGUGCGACUCUAGCAAAAGGGAGCUGUCGCUACAGGCAUAAUUUACUUGAUUUUAAGGAUCCAUAUGAAUUCUGGCUACAGAUCAAGUAGCCAUGAACAAAGAGGAAUGUUUCCCCAUGCUCAUUUGUUUUCCAUGUGUGAAUUUUCACUCGUCCAAACUCUCCCCGCAAAAAAAUAUUAUUUGUCUUCAUGAAUUCCAUGUGGAAAUACAACAAAAGUCCUGCUAAUAAAUUAUUCAAGAAAGACAACAGAUUUUUUUUUGAUUGCAAAAAUACUCAAAAAGCCAGCGUUAGAAUCAAAAUAUCAGUUCCCUGUGAUUUCAGUAUUUUCAGUUAUAUAUUAUAAAAUGCUACAUACGUAGCAAAUAGAUUCACAUGCUCACGGAGAGCUUUUCUGGGUGAAUUAUCCUAAACAGGAUAACUCAAUGGCAAAGUAAGUAGGCUUUUAAUGCUAUUACUAUUAGGAAAAUAACAUUAAUAUGAGACAUAUGCAGGUUGCUAUUACAUCAGUGCACAGUAUUAUUCAGUCAAUAUGCAGGCCCAGUGCUGUAGAUCAGUGCAGAGUUCCUGGGCCUUUAACACAUGUACCUUGGCUUAGUCUUGAGGUCAAAAUCUAUUAAUGCAAUUUUCUGUAUAAAAAAGAGAAUUUAAAAUCCAUGUGUUUUUAAUGACAUGUCCAGGGUUUGGAUUUUUUUAAAAAUUUGUCCUAGUCACAUUGAAUGUGAACUUCAUUGAAAUAUGUGUUAUCUAUGGCAAACA